CGGGUGAGUAACGCGUAGGUAACCUGCCCCAUACAGAGGGAUAGCCACUGGAAACGGUGAUUAAUACCUCAUAAAACUGAGAAUACACAUGUAUGCUCAGCCAAAGAUUUAUCGGUAUGGGAUGGACCUGCGUCUGAUUAGUUAGUUGGUGAGGUAACGGCUCACCAAGGCGACGAUCAGUAGCCGACCUGAGAGGGUGAUCGGCCACAUUGGAACUGAGACACGGUCCAAACUCCUACGGAAGGCAGCAG
RNAcentral lists this ribosomal RNA (251 nucleotides) under uncultured bacterium. RNAcentral's name for it is "partial 16S ribosomal RNA". It matches the Rfam family "Bacterial small subunit ribosomal RNA", at positions 103 to 354 of the family's 1533-position model. The record is from RNAcentral.